GGUGGGCGCGCGGCGACGUGUCGACGCAAGCGGUGUGGGCGCGCGGGAGCCGGCGCAGCGGCGGCGGCGAAAGGCGCCAAGGGGGCGGUACUUCCGGCUCCGCACUUCCGGCCGUGGCGCCGCGGCGGUCGGUGUGGCAGCAGCGCUCGGCCCGGCCCGCUCCGCCCGCCCCCCCAUGCAGCGCCGUGACGACCCCGCCGCCCGCAUGGGCCGGGGGCCGGGCCCCGGCGGCGCCCGGCAAGGGGGACCUCAGCAGCGGCGACCGCCCCGUGGCGGCGGCGGGGGCCGCGGGGCCUCCAGCGGGGCGCAGCCACCGCCGCUCCUCCCGUCCGGCGGCGCGGCCGGCGGCUCGGGCACUCAGGCCUCCACGCCCGCCCCGCUGCUGUCCGGGGGCGCUGCCAAGAUGGAGCCCGAGAACAAGUACCUGCCCGAGCUGAUGGCCGAGAAGGACAGCCUGGACCCGUCCUUCACACACGCUAUGCAGCUCCUCACCGCAGAAAUUGAAAAAAUUCAGAAGGGUGAAACAACAAAGAAGGAUGAGGAAGAGAACUACCUGGAUUUAUUUUCCCACAAGAAUAUGAAACUGAAAGAACGAGUUCUGAUCCCUGUCAAACAGUACCCCAAGUUCAACUUUGUUGGAAAGAUUUUGGGACCUCAAGGCAACACCAUCAAGAGACUCCAGGAAGAAACCGGUGCUAAAAUAUCUGUGCUCGGGAAGGGUUCAAUGCGAGAUAAAGCAAAGGAGGAAGAACUGCGCAAAGGGGGAGAUCCUAAAUACGCUCAUCUAAAUAUGGAUUUGCACGUCUUCAUUGAGGUCUUCGGCCCCCCCUGUGAAGCAUACGCUCUGAUGGCUCAUGCCAUGGAAGAAGUCAAGAAGUUCCUCGUUCCAGACAUGAUGGAUGAUAUCUGUCAGGAGCAAUUCUUGGAGCUCUCCUAUCUGAACGGUGUGCCAGAGCCAGGUCGUGGCCGAGGAGUCCCCGUGCGGGGAAGGGGAGCUGCUCCGCCGCCGCCUCCGCCCGUUCCAAGGGGCCGUGGCGUUGGUCCUCCCCCCCCUCCUCCUCCUCCUCCUCCUCGGGGGGCCCUGGUGCGGGGAGCCCCGGUGCGCGGUGCCAUCGCCCGCGGAGCCGCCGUAGCCCGCGGGGUCCCUCCUCCCCCCGCCGUUCGGGGAGCUCCUGCGCCCAGAGCACGUGCUGCUGGCAUUCAGAGAAUACCGCUCCCUCCUCCUCCCGUGCCAGAAACCUAUGAGGAAUAUGGCUAUGAUGAUAUGUAUGCAGACCAGAGCUAUGAGGGGUAUGAAGGCUACUACAGCCAGGGCCAAGGGGACACAGAAUACUAUGAUUAUGGACACGGGGAGGCACAGGAAACCUAUGAAGCUUAUGGGCAAGAUGACUGGAACGGAACCAGGCCCUCCCUGAAGGCCCCGCCGGCCAGGCCAGUGAAGGGGGCCUACAGAGAGCACCCAUACGGACGUUAUUAAAAAUCAAACAUGAGGGAAAAAUAUCAGUUAUGAGCAAACAGUUGUUACUGAUUCUUGUAUCUCCCAGGAUUCCCGUUGCUUUACCCACACCAGACAAGAGCCAAGACGCCAUCGCGGUGAAUCACUCGGGGGAAGAUGAGCAGGGGCAACACCAAGUGGGCACAGCUUUUAUAUCAAGUGGAAAAGAUUUGAUAGAAAUCAUCUAUUAUGAUGCAGUUUUUUACCGGUAGAAGUGGAUCUUGUGGCGCUGCCUUUGGAGUCGUACGGCUUGCUUGUGCAUUGCAUUUGUUGCAUGUUUAUGUGAAAGAUUCUAAUGUUAUGGAGGAAUGUAAAUUCAAUAUAUUGAAAUAACUGUAUAUGUUAAAAAAUAUUUUGAAAACGUGCCCUGCAUCAAGUAUCUUCCUCCUUCUCACAGCGUUGCUGCAUUCAGAUUUUAGCCCCGAGUCUGCGGAAGCUAAUUUGAGAUCCCAAAAUAGCCACUGGCAUGCGGAUGUGUCUCUCAAAGAUGCUCUAAUUAGCCAGACGUUCCGGGGGUGAUACAGGACUGAAAUUGGUGAGGGGUAGAGAUUCCUUUGAGCGCUGAAGUCAGAGUCACCCCAAUAACCUUCCCUUUCCUCCUGCCCUGGCCGCAGAGGUUGGAUUCUGCUGGCUCUGAGCUGACAAGCACCACUGAUCCUUCACCUCCCGAUUUCCCCAAAGGCCUAAUCCACAUCUUAUUAUAUGUAGGAUUUUGGUAAAGACCGUAAACAAGAUUGUCCCUGGUGCUGUACAGUGUGAUGUACAUCAGCAGCCACCUCUCCUCCAUGGAAAUGUUUCCCAAAAAUCCUGUUUUUUUUCAGAAGUUUGUCUCCAGAAACACCCUCUCGGCUGCUCUGGCCCUUGUUUGGAACGGCCACAGCUCCUUUGGUUUAAAUCCUUGGGCUGCAUUUGCUUGGAGCUGGUUCAGACCGGGACUUCAUGCUUCCUCCGUGAGGACUCACCAUGCACAGUGGUUCAUAGUAGCCUGGACAGCAACAGGAGUGUGAAACGGGCUCCGGCUGCUGCUGCGGGGAUGUCCCCAGCACCUGUCCCUGUCGUACCCCGUUCCAGUUGCUGUUCAGACUAUUAAAUAAAGCAAAGGGCUACAAGCUUUCCUUUAUAGCUUACCCACGCUGUUUUAUGUUUGACUUAAAACACCAUGCUUUCAGUAAGACUAAGAUACUACCUCGAUAUAGCCCUCUGUUUCAUUCCAUUUUUGGCAAUCUGGGUUUAGGAGCACAGCUGGAUUCCCUGUUUGGCUGUUAAAGCAGACGACUCUUUUUGUACAGGAUGAGUUUUUAAAUUUGUAUGAGAGCAUCUGUCAAGGAACAGAGCCAAGAAAAACAACUUAAACAUGCACAUCUUCCCUUCCUCACCCCAUACCGCUGCUCUCCUCAAGAACUCUUGGGCAAAGGGUGAUUGCACAGCCUGUGACAGACCCUCCAAAUGUCCCCAGAGGAGCAGAGACCAGCUGCGACCUGUCUGCUGGGAGAUGCGAUGCCGCUAACACAGCUUUUCCUGUGGCUGCGGGGAACAAGUACAUAUGGUGCUUUUGGGGAGGAAGACGGGGCUUGGGGAAUUUCUUCUUUAAUUGAAAAACCUCUAGAACAUCUCGGAUGAGGUGUUGGACGCAUGCCCCGUAUGGAAGCUUUGAGGGGGAGGAAUUUCUGCAGGCUGGUGGGGGCCCGUGGGAGCUCCCAUCUCAAAUGUAGACAUUAUUCCUCUUUUUCUACUCAGGAAGCUCGAGCCUUCCAUCGCUACCAUAUGUUUUAAUAGAAAUGUUGUUUCCACGCUUGUUUUGCUCCUUUUGCAAAGCGGGAUGAAUCUCCAAGGAGCCGAUCUCAGGUCUGCUAAAGGAACCUGGUUAAGAUGCCGUUUGCUUUGCCAUGGUUGGGAAAUGGGAACCUGGCAGCUCGUGGUGAGCGCUGGGAACACCGGAGCAUCCUCAGAACCUGGAGAGCAGCAGCUGGGUGGCGAUUUAAAGUGUUUUCUAAUGAAGUUGUUACUUUUAUCGCUGGCUUUAGAACCAAAUGUGACCAUCGUGUGUGGUGUUACAGAAGCUAAACCUGUUUUCAGCCUGACAUUGCUACAUCCUACCUGUCACCUUCAUAGUUAUACCUGGAAGACUUGGUUAAAACCACAGGUGUCUGGAUGCUCCUGGUGUUUGAUGUCUCUGCACAAUGAAGGUUUCAAAAUGAGCAGAAAGCCAAAGAUUGGCCCUGUGUAAGUUCAUUAAUUUUAGAGGUGACUUUGCCUCCUGUUCUCAGGAUUGUGUAAUGCUCCAUCUGUCCCGAAGCACCAAACACCCACCAGUUAAGGAAAUCGAUGAAAAACACUGCGAGUGGUCGGUAAAGAUGGUGAAAACUGAUCAAGGUGAAUCACAGCACUAAAAUAACUCGCAUAGGAAGCUGGCAAGCUCCUGCCUGGCUGGUAUUUAGCGAGGAGCGUUCAGCAGAUGUUGAAAACCAUUAGUCAUUCCCUGUAAUAAAGCUUUAAUGUUGAAAA
Columba livia (rock pigeon) is the source of this 4000-nucleotide RNA transcript. It is a transcript of the gene named KH RNA binding domain containing, signal transduction associated 1, with no coding region annotated. The record is from RefSeq and is a predicted model, not a curated record. NCBI's taxonomy places the organism in Eukaryota, Metazoa, Chordata, Aves, Columbiformes, Columbidae. The transcript has 11 exons.